RNAcentral lists this ribosomal RNA (465 nucleotides) under uncultured bacterium. RNAcentral describes it as "partial 16S ribosomal RNA". It matches the Rfam family "Bacterial small subunit ribosomal RNA", at positions 338 to 795 of the family's 1533-position model. The record is from RNAcentral.
CCUACGGGAGGCAGCAGUAGGGAAUCUUCCACAAUGGGCGAAAGCCUGAUGGAGCAACGCCGCGUGGGUGAAGAAGGUCUUCGGAUCGUAAAACCCUGUUGCUAGAGAAGAAAGUGCGCGAGAGUAACUAUUUACGUUUCGACGGUAUCCAACCAGAAAGCCACGGCUAACUACGUGCCAGCAGCCGCGGUAAUACGUAGGUGGCAAGCGUUAUCCGGAUUUAUUGGGCGUAAAGGGAACGCAGGCGGUCCUUUAAGUCUGAUGUGAAAGCCUUCGGCUUAACCGGAGUAGUGCAUUGGAAACUGGGAGACUUGAGGGCAGAAGAGGAGAGUGGAACUCCAUGUGUAGCGGUGAAAUGCGUAGAGAUAUGGAAGAACACCAGUGGCGAAAGCGGCUCUCUGGUCUGUAACUGACGCUGAGGUUCGAAAGCGUGGGUAGCAAACAGGAUUAGAUACCCCAGUAGUC